This 460-nucleotide ribosomal RNA is filed under the name uncultured bacterium. RNAcentral's name for it is "partial 16S ribosomal RNA". It matches the Rfam family "Bacterial small subunit ribosomal RNA", at positions 338 to 795 of the family's 1533-position model. The record is from RNAcentral.
CCUACGGGAGGCAGCAGUGAGGAAUAUUGGUCAAUGGACGAGAGCCUGAACCAGCCAAGUAGCGUGAAGGAUGACUGCCCUAUGGGUUGUAAACUUCUUUUAUAUGGGAAUAAAAUGUUCCACGUGUGGGAUUUUGUAUGUACCAUAUGAAUGAGGAGCGGCUCACUCCGUGCCAGCCGCCGCGGUAAUACGGAGGAUUCGAGCGUUAUCCGGAUUUAUUGGGUUUAAGGGGAGCGUAGGUGGUUUGUUAAGUCAGGUGUGAAAGUUUGCGGCUAAACCGUAAAAUUGCAGUUGAAACGGGCAGUCUUGAGUACAGUAGAGGUGGGCGGAAUUCGCGGUGUAGCGGUGAAAUGUUUAGAUAUCACGAAGAACACCGAUGGCGAAGGCAGGUCACUGGACUGCAACUGACACUGAGGCUCGAAAGUGUGGGUAGCAAACAGGAUUAGAUACCCUGGUAGUC